CUGCUCUCCCUCCAGCAGCACAUAUACUAAAAUUGGAACGAUACAGAGAUUAGCACAGCCUCUGCACAAGGAUGGCAUGCCAAUUCAUGAAGUGUUCCGUAUUUUU
Gallus gallus (chicken) is the source of this 106-nucleotide small nuclear RNA. NCBI's taxonomy places the organism in Eukaryota, Metazoa, Chordata, Aves, Galliformes, Phasianidae. The record is from Ensembl.